CAAGAUGGUGUUGCGUGAUGUCACCGUUCCCGUCGUCCAGGCCGCAAGGCGUGUUCCAGUGGCCUUACAGGAACCCCUCAAGAUGGAACUGGACCGCAUGCAACGUGCAGGCAUUAUCACGAAAGUGACUGAGCCAACAGACUGGGGAAGCAGCUUGUCCUCGCCGACAUGCUUUCGAGAGCCACAAGCAGGCAAGCGGGUGACACCGACAGCGACGACGUAGAGCUCCACGCAGACGACACCGAUGGAGGGCGCCCCUUCACCUGCCGAGGUGUUAC
Long non-coding RNA from Dermacentor silvarum, 278 nucleotides. RefSeq lists it as uncharacterized. NCBI's taxonomy places the organism in Eukaryota, Metazoa, Arthropoda, Arachnida, Ixodida, Ixodidae. The record is from RefSeq and is a predicted model, not a curated record. The transcript has 3 exons.